Molecule: ribosomal RNA, 324 nt
Filed under: uncultured eukaryote
Lineage: Eukaryota
Description: partial 18S ribosomal RNA
Rfam family: Eukaryotic small subunit ribosomal RNA
Source: RNAcentral
CCCUUAGAUGUCCUGGGCUGCACGCGCGCUACACUGAUGUGUCCAGUAAGCACCUAACCUCUUCCGAAAGGAACGGGUAACCUUUGCAAAGCACAUCGUGAUGGGGAUAGAUUAUUGCAAUUAUUAGUCUUGAACGAGGAAUUCCUAGUAAGCACAAGUCAUCAGCUUGUGUUGAUUACGUCCCUGCCCUUUGUACACACCGCCCGUCGCUCCUACCGAUUGAAUGUUCCGGUGAGCUCUUCGGACUGCGCGGUCUGCAGUUUCUGCGUUCCGUGCGGAAAGUUGCGCAAACCUGAACAUUUAGAGGAAGGAGAAGUCGUAACA